RNAcentral lists this ribosomal RNA (734 nucleotides) under Hygrophorus parvirussula. RNAcentral's name for it is "partial large subunit ribosomal RNA". It matches the Rfam family "Eukaryotic large subunit ribosomal RNA", at positions 77 to 793 of the family's 3401-position model. Lineage: Eukaryota; Fungi; Basidiomycota; Agaricomycetes; Agaricales; Hygrophoraceae. The record is from RNAcentral.
CCCCUAGUAACUGCGAGUGAAGCGGGAAAAGCUCAAAUUUAAAAUCUGAUAGUCCCUGUGGCUGUCCGAGUUGUAAUCUAGAGAAGUGCUUUCCGCGUUGGACCGUGUACAAGUCUCUUGGAACAGAGCAUCAUAGAGGGUGAGAAUCCCGUCUUUGACACGGACUACCAGUGCUUUUGUGAUGCGCUCUCAAAGAGUCGAGUUGUUUGGGAAUGCAGCUCAAAAUGGGUGGUAAAUUCCAUCUAAAGCUAAAUAUUGGCGAGAGACCGAUAGCGAACAAGUACCGUGAGGGAAAGAUGAAAAGAACUUUGGAAAGAGAGUUAAACAGUACGUGAAAUUGUUGAAAGGGAAACGCUUGAAGUCAGUCACGUUGGCUAGAAAUCAACUCUUCAUUGAAGGGUGUACUUUCUGGCUUUACGGGUCAACAUCAAUUUUGACUGUUGGAUAAAUUUCAAUAUUUAUGCAUUUUCGGAUGUAUAGCCUUUGAUUGCAUACAACAGUUGGGAUUGAGGAACUCAGCAUGCCGCAAGGCCGGGUCAGAAUGACCACGUACAUGCUUAGGAUGUUGGCAUAAUGGCUUUAAUCGACCCGUCUUGAAACACGGACCAAAGGAGUCUAACAUGCCCGCGAGUGUUUUGGGUGGUAAAACCCGAGCGCGUAAUGAAAAGUGAAUGUUGAGAUCUCUGUCAUGGAGAGCAUCGACGCCCGGACCAGACCUUUUGUGACGGUUCCGC